AUUGAACGCUGGCGGCAGGCCUAACACAUGCAAGUCGAAUGGUAACAGGAAACAGCUUGCUGUUUCGCUGACGAGUGGCGGACGGGUGAGUCAUGUCUGGGAAACUGCCUGAUGGAGGGGGAUAACUACUGGAAACGGUAGCUAAUACCGCAUAACGUCGCAAGACCAAAGAGGGGGACCUUCGGGCCUCUUGCCAUCAGAUGUGCCCGGAUGGGAUUAGCUAGUAGGUGGGGUAACGACUCACCUAGGCGACGAGCCCUAGCUGGUCUGAGAGGAUGACCAGCCACAAUGGAACUGAGACACGGUCCAGACUCCUACGGGAGGCACCAGUGGGGAAUAUUGCACAAUGGGCGCAAGCCUGAUGCAGCCAUGCCGCGUGUAUGAAGAAGGCCUUCGGGUUGUAAAGUACUUUCAGCGGGGAGGAAGGGAGUAAAGUUAAUACCUUGGCUCAUUGACGUUACCCGCAGAAGAAGCACCGGCUAACUCCGUG
Molecule: ribosomal RNA, 490 nt
Filed under: uncultured bacterium
Lineage: Bacteria
Description: partial 16S ribosomal RNA
Rfam family: Bacterial small subunit ribosomal RNA
Source: RNAcentral